CCUACGGGUGGCAGCAGUGAGGAAUAUUGGUCAAUGGGCGCGAGCCUGAACCAGCCAAGCCGCGUGAAGGAAGACUGCCCUACGGGUUGUAAACUGCUUUUAUAAAGGAAUAAAGUGAGGCACGUGUGCCUGUCUGUAUGUACUGUACGAAUAAGGAUCGGCUAACUCCGUGCCAGCAGCCGCGGUAAUACGGAGGAUCAGAGCGUUAUCCGGAUUUAUUGGGUUUAAAGGGAGCGUAGAUGGGUUGUUAAGUCAGUUGUGAAAGGUUGCGGCUCAACUGGUAAAGUGCAAAUGAUACUGGCAGUCUAGAGUACAGUAGAGGGAGGCGGAAUGCGUGGUGUAGCGGUGAAAUGCUUAGAUAUCACGAAGAACACCGAUUGCGAAGGCAGCUUACUAAACUGCCACUGACGUUGAUGCUCGAAAGUGUGGGUAUCAAACAGGAUUAGAUACCCGAGUAGUC
RNAcentral lists this ribosomal RNA (460 nucleotides) under uncultured bacterium. RNAcentral's name for it is "partial 16S ribosomal RNA". It matches the Rfam family "Bacterial small subunit ribosomal RNA", at positions 338 to 795 of the family's 1533-position model. The record is from RNAcentral.